GACGAACGCUGGCGGCGUGCUUAACACAUGCAAGUCGAACGGAAAGGCCCUGCUUUUGUGGGGUGCUCGAGUGGCGAACGGGUGAGUAACACGUGAGUAACCUGCCCUUGACUUUGGGAUAACUUCAGGAAACUGGGGCUAAUACCGGAUAGGAGCUCCUGCUGCAUGGUGGGGGUUGGAAAGUUUCGGCGGUUGGGGAUGGACUCGCGGCUUAUCAGCUUGUUGGUGGGGUAGUGGCUUACCAAGGCUUUGACGGGUAGCCGGCCUGAGAGGGUGACCGGCCACAUUGGGACUGAGAUACGGCCCAGACGCCUACGGGAGGCAGCAGUGGGGAAUAUUGCACAAUGGGCGGAAGCCUGAGGCAGCAACGCCGCGUGCGGGAUGACGGCCUUCGGGUUGUAAACCGCUUUCGCCUGAGACGAAGCGUGAGUGACGGUAAUGGGUAAAGAAGCACCGGCUAACUACGUG
RNAcentral lists this ribosomal RNA (468 nucleotides) under uncultured bacterium. RNAcentral describes it as "partial 16S ribosomal RNA". It matches the Rfam family "Bacterial small subunit ribosomal RNA", at positions 28 to 507 of the family's 1533-position model. The record is from RNAcentral.